This 253-nucleotide ribosomal RNA is filed under the name uncultured bacterium. RNAcentral's name for it is "partial 16S ribosomal RNA". It matches the Rfam family "Bacterial small subunit ribosomal RNA", at positions 524 to 776 of the family's 1533-position model. The record is from RNAcentral.
UACGAAGGGGGCUAGCGUUGUUCGGAAUUACUGGGCGUAAAGCGCACGUAGGCGGACUACUAAGUCAGGGGUGAAAUCCCGGGGCUCAACCCCGGAACUGCCUUUGAUACUGAUAGUCUCGAGUCCGGAAGAGGUGAGUGGAAUUCCGAGUGUAGAGGUGAAAUUCGUAGAUAUUCGGAGGAACACCAGUGGCGAAGGCGGCUCACUGGUCCGGUACUGACGCUGAGGUGCGAAAGCGUGUGGAGCAAACAGG